This 253-nucleotide ribosomal RNA is filed under the name uncultured bacterium. Its description in RNAcentral is "partial 16S ribosomal RNA". It matches the Rfam family "Bacterial small subunit ribosomal RNA", at positions 524 to 776 of the family's 1533-position model. The record is from RNAcentral.
UACGGAGGGUGCGAGCGUUGUUCGGAAUUACUGGGCGUAAAGAGCUUGUAGGCGGCUCGUUAAGUCUGAUGUGAAAGCCCUCGGCUCAACCGGGGAAGUGCAUUGGAUACUGGUGGGCUUGAGUAUGGGAGAGGAGAGCGGAAUUCCCGGUGUAGAGGUGAAAUUCGUAGAUAUCGGGAGGAACAUCUGUGGCGAAGGCGGCUCUCUGGACCAAUACUGACGCUGAGAAGCGAAAGCGUGGGGAGCAAACAGG